GUUGUGGAGCCGUCGAGAACGCGGAACAUUCGCAUGAGAAGUCGCCGCAUUCGUUGAUUUCCGCCGGAAUCUAGCGUUCAAUUUGCCAGUAAUGCGCCAAGUGAACAAGUGAAUUUCCACGGAGAUCGCGACCCGUAACUUUGUGUUUCCACGGAGUUUCGUUACGAAACUGCAUGUUCUGUGCGGCGUUGUACUUGCAAGUUGCAACAUCCAACAAUUUGCAACAGCAAAUCUAUUAAUAAACCGGGCGAAGGGUGAACAAAUUGUGAUGUGUGGCCCCAAAUCUCAAAUCAAAAUCCAACGCAAGUGAACAAUGUGUGUGCACUGAGUUUGCAUAAUUGGGAAUUUGCUAUUUUAAUCGACUGCAGGCACUAAUUACACAGACAGAUAUAACCAGACGGAUCCGGAAAGACCACCUAUUGUACAGCCGAAACAGCGCACACCUUCCCGGCUGAUCCCCAUCCGAUCCCAGAGAUCCAAGAGAUCCAAGAUAUCCAAUAGAACCAAGAGAUCCAAGAGCUAGAGCAGUGACCAACAUGGAUAAUUGGAAUGUUUUGGCAGCGCAAACCUCUUCGCAGGCCAUCGGACUACACGACUCGGGCGUGGUGAAGACCCGACUGACCAUCGAGAAGCUGCCCGACAAGGUGCUGCUGCACAUCUUCUCGUACCUGUCGCACCGCGAGAUCUGCCGCCUGGCGCGGAUCUGCCGUCGAUGGCGCCAGAUUGCCUACGACACGCGCCUCUGGAAGAACGUGAGCCUGCGGCCGGAGGUCUCGGGUCUGCACGUGGGCUCCCUGGAGAUGCUGCUGCAGCUGAUCUCGGUGAGAUUUGGCCCGACGCUGCGCUACAUCGAGCUGCCCAUCGAACUGAUUACGCACACGGUGCUCCAUGAGCUGUCCGCCAAGUGUCCCAAUUUGACGCACAUGCUGCUGGACUUCUCCACAGCCAUGCAGCUGCACGACUUCAGCGAGAUGCAGGCCUUUCCCACCAAGCUGCGCUACAUGUGCGUCUGCCUGUCGGAGGUGAUCUUCAUGGAGGGCUUCAUGCGCAAGAUCUACAACUUCAUCAACGGCCUGGAGGUGCUGCACCUGAUCGGCACCUACGAGAAGUGCGAGGAGGAGGAGGAGGAGAUCUACGAGGUGAUCAACGUGCACAAGCUCAAGUCGGCCACGCCCAAUCUGCGUGUGAUCAAUCUGUAUGGCAUCAACUUCAUCGACGACUCGCACAUCGACGCCUUCAGCUCCAACUGCAUCCAGCUGGAGUGCCUGGCCGUCAACUUCUGCAACAAGGUGACCGGCUCCACCCUGAAGACCCUCAUCCAGCGCUCCAAGCGCCUCACCUGCCUGCUGAUGAACGGCACCAGUUUGAAGUCCGAGUUCGUCAUGCAGGCCGAGUGGGACAAGUGCGCCCUGCAGGAGCUGGACAUCACGGCCACGGAUCUGUCGCCCGAGUGCCUCGUGGACAUGCUGACCAGGAUACCCAGCCUCAAGUUCCUGUCGGCCGGCCAGAUCAAUGGCUUCAACGACGGCGUUCUCAAGCAGUGGAUGGAGUCGGGCACCACCAGAUCCCUCAUUUCGCUGGACCUGGACUCCUCGGACAACAUCUCGGAUGAGGGCCUGCUGAAGUUCAUACAGCGCCAGGGUCACCAGCUGAGCGCCUGCUGCCUCUCGGGCAUGCCGCACAUCACCGACCAGCUGUGGAUGAGCAUCCUGCCCCUGCUGGGCAACUGCAAGAUCAUUGUCAUGGGCACCGCGGAGAAGCUGGGCGUCAACAUUCACGUGGACCAGCUGAUGGACACCAUUGCCUCGAACUGCGGCAACUUGGAGCGCCUGGAGCUGCGCUGGGAUCCGGACAACCUGCGCUUCUCCGACAAGAGCCAAAAGGCCAUCGAUAUUCUGCGCGUCAAGUGCCUCAAGCUGCGCUGCAUGGUGCUCAGCGAUGGUCGCUACUACGAGACGGUGAAGGCGAACUUCGAGCGUGCCGAUCGCAUCACCGUGGUGCGCACCACCACCUGUUGCCGCGUGUCGCCCUACCACCUGCUGCGCAACUACAACGACUUGAUUUUCAACUGAGCAAGUGGGCUGAGCUGCCAAACUUCGGAGCUGAAAGGCAAAAGAGUUGAUUGAGCUCUGGAGGGGAAGAGAAGGCAAUGAAGGCAAUGGAAUGGAAUGACCCACACUUGUAGUCAAAAGGCGGCACAAGCCAUGUUGUUUCUGUGUGUUUUCGCUUACAUUAGACUGUUUUAAUGUUUUCUGUAUUUUCCGCUUCUUUCGUUUAAUUACUUUAAAUCUAAAUAAACGUACAUAGGUAAUUUAAAUAAAAAAACAAAACAAGGA
Molecule: RNA transcript, 2336 nt
Organism: Drosophila yakuba
Lineage: Eukaryota; Metazoa; Arthropoda; Insecta; Diptera; Drosophilidae
Gene: FipoQ
Gene name: F-box/LRR-repeat protein fbxl-1
Exons: 8
Source: RefSeq, a predicted model, not a curated record